GUGCCAGCCGCCGCGGUAAUACGUAGGGUGCGAGCGUUAAUCGGAAUUACUGGGCGUAAAGCGUGCGCAGGCGGUGAUGUAAGACAGUUGUGAAAUCCCCGGGCUCAACCUGGGAACUGCAUCUGUGACUGCAUCGCUGGAGUGCGGCAGAGGGGGAUGGAAUUCCGCGUGUAGCAGUGAAAUGCGUAGAUAUGCGGAGGAACACCGAUGGCGAAGGCAAUCCCCUGGGCCUGCACUGACGCUCAUGCACGAAAGCGUGGGGAGCAAACAGGAUUAAAUACCCUGGUAGUCCUUGCCGUAAACUAUGUAUACUUGGUGUAAUCGGACUCAACCCCGAUUGUGCCGGAGCUAACGCGUUAAGUAUACCGCCUGAGGAGUACAGUCGCAAGGCUGAAACUCAAAAGAAUUGACGGGGGCCCGCACAAGCGGUGGAGCAUGUGGUUUAAUUCGAAGCAACGCGCAGAACCUUACCACCUUUUGACAUGUCCUGAUCGCUGAAGAGAUCCAUUUCUCCCUUCGGGGACAGGAACACAGGUGCUGCAUGGCUGUCGUCAGCUCGUGUCGUGAGAUGUUGGGUUAAGUCCCGCAACGAGCGCAACCCUCGCCAUUAGUUGCCAGCAUUUAGUUGGGCACUCUAGUGGGACUGCCGGAGCUAAUCCGGAGGAGGGCGGGGAUGACGUCUCGUCCUCAUGGCCCUUACGGGGGUGGGCUACACACGUGCUACAUGGACGACUAACAGAGGGUUGCAACCCAGCGAUGAUGAGCUACUCCCUAAAGUCGUCUCAAGUUCGGAUUGCACUCUGCACUCGAGUGCAUGAAGUCGAUCGCUAGUAUCGCGGAUCAGCUGGCGCGAGAUGAAUACGUCCCGGUACUAGCACAACGGUCGGUCAAGGACGAUCGAUCAGCGGAGACUUCCUUUAUUAGAGGAGUUAUAUCUCAGACCUUGAGCGCA
RNAcentral lists this ribosomal RNA (952 nucleotides) under uncultured bacterium. RNAcentral describes it as "bacterial SSU rRNA". It matches the Rfam family "Bacterial small subunit ribosomal RNA", at positions 505 to 1533 of the family's 1533-position model. The record is from RNAcentral.